UAGAUUCCAUUUGAGAAUGAAGUAAUCCAACUCUCUCCUCUAACCAUACAAUGAGAGGCAUGCUGUUAUUACCCAAUUCUUCUGUUGAGCCACUCAGGAAGGGAGAAGUCCAGCAAAUUGGUCAUGGCAGGAGCUCCAACUACGAAGGAUGUCAGUGCUGAAGAUGGCCUUGGAGCUGUUUUCCACAUGCAGCACGUAAGCAGUGACAAGCACAUCA
RNAcentral lists this long non-coding RNA (217 nucleotides) under Chinchilla lanigera (long-tailed chinchilla). RNAcentral's name for it is "lncRNA (ENSCLAG00000026621.1)". The record is from RNAcentral. Lineage: Eukaryota; Metazoa; Chordata; Mammalia; Rodentia; Chinchillidae.